This 1743-nucleotide long non-coding RNA is filed under the name Mus musculus (house mouse). RNAcentral's name for it is "long non-coding RNA chr9:65313880-65315623". Lineage: Eukaryota; Metazoa; Chordata; Mammalia; Rodentia; Muridae. The record is from RNAcentral.
UUGUAGAGUGUUGAAGUUACAGGUGUGUGCCACCAUAUCUUGACCAAGUUAUUUUUACAUUUAUGGAAAUACUAAUAUUCAAUAAGUGACACAGUAAAAUUAAGACAUACUCUCAGAUGAGCUGGAGAGAUAGCUCAGUGGCUAAGAGCACUGACUGCUUUUCAUUGGCAGCUCACAACUAUCUGAAACUCCAGUUCUAGGACAUCGAGUUCCCCUUUUGGCCUCCAAAGGCAAUAAGCAGGCAAGUGGUGCACAGACAUACAUGCAGGCAAAAUACCCAUACACAAAGAUUUUUUUAGAAAGACAUACAGUUAAUGCAAUAGAAUUAAGUUAUAUAGAAGAAUAUAAGAUCUAAACCAAGUGUGGUCUUACAUGCUUGUAAUCCCAGCACUCAGUGAACUCAAGGCCACUUGAGCUACACCAAAAGUUUCAGGCUAGUUUCAAUGUACAUAGAUUCUCAAAUCUAAAGAUAGAAUCAACUUUGCAAUCAAUACUAAUAAUUUAGGCUGAUACCUAGUGAAAGUAUAAAUCAGUAGAAGAAAGUCUACAGGGAUUAGUGACACAGACACAGGUUUGUUGAGCUGCGUGUCACUGAGCAUCACUGUAACCUCUCUGCUCACAGCUGUCAUUGUGGAGAAUGGCUUACAGAGUGAGGCCAAGCAGAGAUGGCGGGCUACCUGAAAGUAGACUCCCCUCAAAGGAUAAUCUAGGGCACUACUCAUAAAAUAGAGUAAUCCACAUCACCAUUGCCAGUUUGUUUUGUUGUGUAUGCGGCCAACAGCACAUGGAGGUCAGAGGACAACUGCCAGGAGCUGUACUUGGUUGAUGCUGAGUCUUUCCUGUUUCUGCUGCUGCACUGUGCAUACCAAGCCAGCCCUGCAUCUCUCAAUAAAGGCGAUAGAUUUCACAUGCAUUCCAGGGAUCAAAUUCAAGGUUGUCGAGUUAUCCAGCUAGGGCUUUUACCUGCUGGACCCACUCUGUAGCGCCCUGAAUAAAUAAAAUACAUGUGUAUCACGUAGCUUUAUUGUAACUUAUUUUUCUCUUGUAAUUUAAAAAAAUUAUCUAAAUCAUUUUUUUCUAUUGGACAGAGAUAAAUCAAAGUCACGUCCUUUUUUAUUAUAGUUCCUAAUUAUAUUUCCCAGAAAUUAAAAAAUUUGCCAAUAGCAGCUAAAUUCAGAUAUGCACAUUCCCUAAUGUGGAUAAUAAUAUUGUGAUUUACUAACUCUGAUGUUUACAACUCAAGUUCUGUGUAUAUUGCGAUACUGACUAGACUAGCAUUAGCUGUAAGCAUUAAAGUGAUGAUUGAUGAUAGACUAGGAGAAAUGAUAACUGGAUGACUGCUGAGCUGUUAUUAUUCUGUCUGUUGGCUUGAUUAAAUGGUCACCAGACAGCACGAUGAUAUCCUUAACUCAUUUCUUAGACGUAGCUGGGCCUGAAGAGAUGUCUCAGUGGUAUAGAAAGAACAGUUGAUGCUUUUGCAGAGGACCUGCGUUCACUUCUCAGCACUCACAUGAUAGCUCACAACCAUCUGUAACCCCAGUUGCAGGGAAUCUAAUCCCCUCUUUUUGACCUCGUGGUCCACAUAUAUGCAGGCAAAACAUUCAUACACAUAAAAUAUAGUAUAAAAUUCAAAAUUAUAUACAAGUAAAAUGUAGUCACAGAUACCUUAAGUGAUGAGAACUGGGAACAAUUUGGUUAUUUACCAAGGUGGAAAAUCUUUAAAGACUCUGAGUUAUUCUAGUC